This 254-nucleotide ribosomal RNA is filed under the name uncultured bacterium. RNAcentral's name for it is "partial 16S ribosomal RNA". It matches the Rfam family "Bacterial small subunit ribosomal RNA", at positions 524 to 776 of the family's 1533-position model. The record is from RNAcentral.
GACGAACCGUACGAACGUUAUUCGGAAUCACUGGGCUUAAAGGGUGCGUAGGCUGCGCAGCAAGUUGGGUGUGAAAUCCCUCGGCUUAACCGAGGAACUGCGCCCAAAACUGCUGUGCUCGAGGGAGAUAGAGGUGAGCGGAACUUAGGGUGGAGCGGUGAAAUGCGUUGAUAUCCUAAGGAACACCGGUGGCGAAAGCGGCUACACUGGAUCUCUUCUGACGCUGAGGCACGAAAGCUAGGGUAGCGAACGGG